UUAAAGCAUCAAGAGCGAUGGAUACAUCCAUCCGGCAACCGAGUCGAUAAAAAGACCGCGGUGCCAUUCGUCUCACGAGAUGCGGCCUAUGGGCAAAAAUUAUUUUUUUA
RNAcentral lists this non-coding RNA (110 nucleotides) under Candidatus Microgenomatota. RNAcentral's name for it is "Microgenomates Levybacteria SAM-I-IV sequence". It matches the Rfam family "SAM-I/IV (S-adenosyl methionine) riboswitch aptamer". From Rfam's summary of the family: It is found upstream of a number of genes which code for proteins involved in methionine or cysteine biosynthesis. It has been found mostly in the order Actinomycetales. The record is from RNAcentral.